UGAGGUAACCUCUGCCUAGUCACUCUCACU
Molecule: non-coding RNA, 30 nt
Filed under: Mus musculus (house mouse)
Lineage: Eukaryota; Metazoa; Chordata; Mammalia; Rodentia; Muridae
Also listed under: 1 other name
Source: RNAcentral